GUUUCUGCUGUUGGGUUGGAGCCAUCAGCAUCUAAAGAUGGAUUGACCUAUCAUGGGAACAAAUGAGACGUGAGAGAGAAUAAAAUCCAUGCGAGGAUGUUCUGCAUUCUCUAGAGUUCCAGCUGUUCAGCCCUCAAAUUCCCUCCUUGCUUGAGACUGAAAGCACCUGAAAAACAGUGUUUUAAUCUUGUCUGCACCUCAUGAGUUUCACUGAAUCAACUCAGAAAUCACCCUCCUCAAAAAGCACUUAGGAGUGACUGAAUCACCCUCCAGAAGGAAAUCCCCACUGACUGCACAGAGGCUGUUCCACCCACAGACCUUUCACUUAGCAUCUUUGAAAAGGGAGGAAACUUCUGAUACUACUUCUUCUUGGAGCAAUCAGAGUGAAUAUAAGAUGGCGGAAGAGGGACUGACUGACAGAACGAUGUCUGACAUGGAAUUUCCAUGAACAUAAAUAGGAAGAAUUGCUUCUAGAGUGACAUACAUAUAUGAAGCCCAAUACAAUUUCCAUUCAUUAAAUGUGGCCCAGGAAACAUGGGAUUUGAUGGUGUGAACCACUGAAGGGGAAAGGUCGAAUAGUCUC
This is a long non-coding RNA of Lagopus leucura (white-tailed ptarmigan), 583 nucleotides long. RefSeq lists it as uncharacterized. NCBI's taxonomy places the organism in Eukaryota, Metazoa, Chordata, Aves, Galliformes, Phasianidae. The record is from RefSeq and is a predicted model, not a curated record. The transcript is spliced from 7 exons.